CUCAGGACGAACGCUGGCGGCGUGCUUAACACAUGCAAGUCGAACGGUAAGGCCCUUCGGGGUACACGAGUGGCGAACGGGUGAGUAACACGUGGGUGAUCUGCCCUGCACUUCGGGAUAAGCCUGGGAAACUGGGUCUAAUACCGGAUAGGACUCCUGGCUUCAUGGUUGGGGGUGUAAAGCUUUUGCGGUGUGGGAUGGGCCCGCGGCCUAUCAGCUUGUUGGUGGGGUAAUGGCCUACCAAGGCGACGACGGGUAGCCGGCCUGAGAGGGUGACCGGCCACACUAGGACUGAGAUACGGCCCAGACUCCUACGGGAGGCAGCAGUGGGGAAUAUUGCACAAUGGGCGCAAGCCUGAUGCAGCGACGCCGCGUGAGGGAUGACGGCCUUCGGGUUGUAAACCUCUUUCAAUAGGGACGAAGCGCAAGUGACGGUACCUAUAGAAGAAGGACCGGCCAACUACGUG
This 467-nucleotide ribosomal RNA is filed under the name uncultured bacterium. RNAcentral's name for it is "bacterial SSU rRNA". It matches the Rfam family "Bacterial small subunit ribosomal RNA", at positions 23 to 507 of the family's 1533-position model. The record is from RNAcentral.